Molecule: small nucleolar RNA, 132 nt
Organism: Oryctolagus cuniculus (rabbit)
Lineage: Eukaryota; Metazoa; Chordata; Mammalia; Lagomorpha; Leporidae
Product: small nucleolar RNA, H/ACA box 33
Source: Ensembl
AAGCCAGCCAAUGAAUCUGCUUACUACCUAUUGUGUUUCUGCAGAAAUCUAGAAAAAGCUGGCAAUAGUAGUGCCAUGUUACGAGCCUUAAAGACAUUGAAGUCUUUCAGGUCCCUGAAAAUGGCUACAACA